AGUUAUGGUUCACAAACUUCAAAAUGAAAUUAAAAAACUGACUGUUGAACUAAUGAAAGCAAAAGAUCAACAAGAGGAUCACCUUAAACACUUAAGAACCCUCGAAAAAACAUUAGAAAAAAUGGAGAGACAAAAAAGGCAGCAGCAGGCAGCACAGAUAAGACUGAUCCAAGAGGUGGAACUCAAAGCUUCAGCUGCCGAUAGAGAAAUAUACUUACUUAGAACUUCCCUUCAUCGAGAAAGGGAACAAGUGCAACAACUUCAUCAACUUCUUGCAUUGAAAGAACAGGAACACAGGAAGGAACUUGAAACAAGGGAGUUUUUUACUGAUGCUGACUUCCAGGAUGCCUUAGCUAAAGAAAUAGCCAAAGAAGAGAAAAAGCAUGAGCAAAUGAUAAAAGAAUACCAAGAGAAAAUUGACGUGUUAAGCCAGCAGUAUAUGGAUUUAGAAAAUGAAUUCCGUAUUGCUUUAACUGUUGAAGCCAGAAGAUUUCAAGAUGUAAGAAUUGGCACCCAACUCUUUAUUGAAAACAGAAUCAGUAAGAUAUGGUUUGAUGAGAGGACUUGUUUUAG
Molecule: long non-coding RNA, 573 nt
Filed under: Pan troglodytes (chimpanzee)
Lineage: Eukaryota; Metazoa; Chordata; Mammalia; Primates; Hominidae
Description: long non-coding RNA NONPTRT016755
Source: RNAcentral